This 2416-nucleotide long non-coding RNA is filed under the name Mytilus galloprovincialis (Mediterranean mussel). Lineage: Eukaryota; Metazoa; Mollusca; Bivalvia; Mytilida; Mytilidae. The record is from RNAcentral.
GUUUACAUGUUUAAUAUACAGGUGUACGUAGGAGUGUAGUGAGAAACACAAAUUAAAGUGAAGUACAGAUUGGACAUAAUUUUAAAGAAGAGCUCAAAGGUACAUUCCUUAACUCAUUACAGAUAAAUUUACCAAAAAUAUUAAAUAAGCUAGUAUAAUGGGCUGUAAAAUGAACAUCAAAAAUAUGAAAAAGAAGAUGUUGUAUAAUUGCCAAUGAGACAACUCUCCACAAGAGACCAAGUGACACAGAAAUUAACAGCCUAUUUCCUUUUCAGUUCCGCACCAAAGGCAAACUAGUGGAUAUUGAUUUUUAUUAUCAACAAUUAUCUAAAUUUUAAAAGAAUCUGUAAAUAAGUAAUUCGAUAUACACACAUUUAAAUAGCUCCAAAUUUCCUUUUACUAUCAAACCAUGAAUACCUAUUCACUUUGCGAGUUGCUGCAUGGAUGAUGCUACCUUUACAUAUGCUUAUAAAUUUUGAAUACAUUGUUUACAUGUUUAAAGUACAGGUGUACGUAAGAGCGUAUUAGAACCACACAUAAAAGUGAAGUAGAGAUUGGACCUAAUUUGAAAGAAGAGCUCAGAGGUACAUAACAUUAAGUCAUUCUUAAAAUCAUUAUAGAUAAAUGUGCCAAACAAAUUAAACAAGCCAUUACAAAAGACUGUCACACGAAAAGUAAAAAUAUGAAAAAGAAAAUGUGAUAUGAUUGCCAAUAAGACAACUUAAAAAAAAAGAAAACAAAUGACACAGAAAUGUAGAGUAAAAUGACACAGAAAUAAACAACAUGUUUCCUUUUCAGUUCCGCAUCAAAGGCAAAAUUUGUGAACAGGCUAGUGGCUUAAGAAAAAAAAUCAAUUUGAAUUUGAAGUAUUGACAGUUAUCUAAAUUUGAUAAAAACCGGUUCACAAGUAAUUCGAUAACCACACAUAUAAAUAGCUCCAAUUUUCAUUUUACUAUCAAACAUGUGGGUUGUUGCAUAGCAGAUGCUACUUUACCAAUGCUUAUAAAUUGUGCAUUCAUAGUUUACAUGUUUAAUAUACAGAAGUGUAUUUAGCAGCACAAAUUGGCUCAAAUGUACAUCCUUAAACACAUUAUACAUAAAUGUACCAAACGAAUUAAAUACGCCUUUAGAAUAGACUGUCAAACGAACAACAUAUAUGUGAACAAGAAGGUGUGGUAUGAUUGGCAGUGAGAUAACUCCACAAUGACACAGAAAUGAACUACAAAAUGACACAGAAAUUAACAGCUAAGCCAGAGUUUGUGAAAAGACUACCGGUACUGGCUAUUGAAAAAAAUAUAUUUUUAAAUAUCAACAAUUACCUUAAUUUGAUUAGGAUCGGUUAAUUAGUCUUGGAUAUACAUGCAUAUAAAUAGCUAAAUUCUCGUUUUACUAUCAAACUAGGAAUACCAGACGUGAUUAUUGACAAAUUGAUGUUCACCUGCAACUUACAUAACUAAUGUAAAUUAGAAUUAAAGUAAUGUAGAGAUUGAACCUAAUUUGAAAGAAGAGCUCAGAGGUACAUAACAUUAAGUUCUUACAAUCAUUAUACAUAAAUGUACCAAACAAAUUAAGAAAGCCAUUACUGUCACACAAAAAGCAAAAAUAUGAAAAAGAAGAUGUGAUAUGAUUGCCAAUAAGACAACUUAAAAACAAAGAGAACAAAUGACACAUAAAUGUAGAGUAAAAUGACAAAGAAAUAAACAACUUGUUUCCUUUUCAGUUCCGCAUCAAAGGUAAAAUUUGUGAACAGCUAGGCUAGUGGCUUUUGAAAAAAAAUCAAUUUGAAUUUGUAGUAUUAACAGUUAUCUAAAUUUGAUAAAAUCGGUUUACAAGUAAUUCGAUAACCACACAUAUAAAUAGCUCCAAUUUUCAUUUACUAUCAAACUUGUGGGUUGUUGCAUAGCAGAUGCUACUUUAACAAUGCUUAUAAAUUGUGCAUUCAUAGUUAACAUGUUUAAUAUACAGAAGUGUAUUUUGAGAAGCACAAAUUAAAGUACAGAUUGGAAUUGAUUUGAAAGGAGAGCUCAAAGGUAUAUUCUUAAACACAUUAUCGAUAAAUGUACCAAACGAAUUAAAUAUACCUUUAGAAUAGACUGUCAAACGAACAGCAUAUAUAUGAACAAGAAGGUGUGGUAUGAUUGCCAGUGAGAUAACUCCACAAUGACACAGAAAUGUACUGCAAAAUGACACAGAAAUUAACAGCUAAGCCAAAAUUUUUGAAAAGACUACCGGUACUGGCUAUUGAAAAAAAUAUUUUUGAAUAUCAACAAUUAUCUUAAUUUGAUAAGAAUGGGUUAAUUAGUCUUGGAUAUACAUGUAUAUAAAUAGCUUAAUUCUCAUUUUACUAUCAAACUAGGAAUACCAGACGUGAUUAUUGCCAGAUUGAUGUUCACCUGCAACUUACAUAACUACUGUA